RNAcentral lists this ribosomal RNA (728 nucleotides) under uncultured bacterium. Its description in RNAcentral is "bacterial SSU rRNA". It matches the Rfam family "Bacterial small subunit ribosomal RNA", at positions 59 to 785 of the family's 1533-position model. The record is from RNAcentral.
CAGUCGAGCGGUAACAGGGGUAGCUUGCUACCCGCUGACGAGCGGCGGACGGGCGAGUAACGCGUAGGAAUCUACCCGGUAGUUGGGGAUAGCCCGGAGAAGUCCGGAUUAAUACCGAAUAAUCUCUACGGAGGAAAGGGGGCUUCGGCUCUCGCUACUGGAUGAGUCUGCGUCGGAUUAGCUAGUUGGUGGGGUAAAGGCCUACCAAGGCGACGAUCCGUAGCUGGUCUGAGAGGAUGAUCAGCCACACUGGGACUGAAACACGGCCCAGACUCCUACGGGAGGCAGCAGUGGGGAAUAUUGGACAAUGGGGGCAACCCUGAUCCAGCCAUGCCGCGUGUGUGAAGAAGGCCUUCGGGUUGUAAAGCACUUUCAGUGGGGAGGAAGGGGUGAUGGUUAAUACCCAUCAUCAUUGACGUCACCCACAGAAGAAGCACCGGCUAACUCCGUGCCAGCAGCCGCGGUAAUACGGAGGGUGCAAGCGUUAAUCGGAAUUACUGGGCGUAAAGCGCGCGUAGGCGGCAAGUUAAGUUGGGUGUGAAAGCCCCGGGCUCAACCUGGGAACGGCAUUCAAAACUGGCUAGCUAGAGUACAGCAGAGGAUAGUGGAAUUUCCGGUGUAGCGGUGAAAUGCGUAGAGAUCGGAAGGAACACCAGUGGCGAAAGCGACUGUCUGGGCUGAUACUGACGCUGAUGUGCGAAAGCGUGGGGAGCAACAGGAUUAGAUAC